AGUCUGGUGCCAGCAGCCGCGGUAAUUCCAGCUCCAAAAGCAUAUAUUAAAGUUGUUGCGGUUAAAAAGCUCGUAGUUGGAUCCAUGACCUCGGAGGGCGGUCCCCUACUGGGUGCGUACUGCUGCUCCGGGUCCUAUCUGUCAGUUUGUCUGUGUUGCCUUUAAUCGGGUGGCACAGGUGACUGACGUGUUUACUUUGAAAAAAUUAGAGUGUUUAAAGCAGGCGUUGAAUGCCUGAAUAGUAGUGCAUGGAAUAAUGGAAUAGGAUCUCGGUUCUAUUUUGUUGGUUCAAGAGCAUGAGAAGAUGAUUAAGAGGGACAGACGGGGGCAUUUGUAUUGCUGCGUUAGAGGUGAAAUUCUUGGAUCGUAGCAAGACAAACUACUGCGAAGGCAUUUGCCAAGAAUGUUUUCAUUAAUCAAGAACGAAAGUUAGAGGUUCGAAGGCGAUCAGAUACCGCCCUAGUUCUAACCGUAAACCAUGUCGACUAGCUAUCUGUCAGCGUUAAUAAUGACCUGACAGGCAGCUUACCGGAAACGAAAGUUUCUCGAUUCCGGGGGUAGUAUGGUUGCAAAGCUGAAACUUAAAGGAAUUGACGGAAGGGCACCACCAGGAGUGGAGCCUGCGGCUUAAUUUGACCCAACACGGGAAAACUCACCCGGCCCGGACACCGUAAGGAUUGACAGAUUAAUAGCUCUUUCUCGAUUUGGUGAUUGGUGGUGCAUGGCCGUUCUUAGUUGGUGGAGCGAUUUGUCUGGUUAAUUCCGAUAACGAACGAGAUUCUAACUUACUAACUAGUUCCACGAUCCUUGUGGUCCUAAAUACUUCUUAGAGGGAAAACCGGCAUUUAGUCGAACGAGAUUGAGCAAUAACAGGUCUGUGAUGCCCUUAGAUGUCCGGGGCUGCACGCGUGCUACACUGAAGGAAUCAGCGUGUUUUUCCCUUGCCUGUAAUGGCUGGGUAACCGACUGAAUCUCCUUCGUGCUAGGGAUAGAUCAUUGAAACUAGUGAUCUUCAACUUGGAAUUCCUGGUACGUUUGAGUCAUAAGCUCAAGCAGAUUACGUCCCUGCCCUUUGUACACACCGCCCGUCGCUACUACCGACUGGCAAUAUCUUUGAGACACUUGGAGCGGCCGUGAGCUACCCUAACCGGUAACUCACGGCUGCGAAAAGGUU
This 1174-nucleotide ribosomal RNA is filed under the name metagenome. RNAcentral describes it as "SSU rRNA". It matches the Rfam family "Eukaryotic small subunit ribosomal RNA", at positions 558 to 1759 of the family's 1831-position model. The record is from RNAcentral.